UACGGGGGGUGCAAGCGUUAUUCGGAAUCAUUGGGCGUAAAGGGCGCGUGGGCGGUCUUUUAAGUCAGAUGUGAAAGCCCUCGGCUUAACCGAGGAAGUGCAUUUGAUACUAAAAGACUUGAGUAUGGGAGAGGGAAGCGGAAUUCCUGGUGUAGCGGUGAAAUGCGUAGAUAUCAGGAGGAACACCGGUGGCGAAGGCGGCUUCCUGGACCAAUACUGACGCUGAGGCGCGAAGGCGUGGGGAGCAAACAGG
RNAcentral lists this ribosomal RNA (253 nucleotides) under uncultured bacterium. RNAcentral describes it as "partial 16S ribosomal RNA". It matches the Rfam family "Bacterial small subunit ribosomal RNA", at positions 524 to 776 of the family's 1533-position model. The record is from RNAcentral.